RNAcentral lists this ribosomal RNA (455 nucleotides) under uncultured bacterium. Its description in RNAcentral is "bacterial SSU rRNA". It matches the Rfam family "Bacterial small subunit ribosomal RNA", at positions 340 to 786 of the family's 1533-position model. The record is from RNAcentral.
UACGGGAGGCAGCAGUGGGGAAUAUUGCACAAUGGGCGCAAGCCUGAUGCAGCCAUGCCGCGUGUAUGAAAAAGGCCUUCGGGUUGUAAAGUACUUUCAGUCGUGAAGGAGGGUGUUAAGGUUAAUAACCUUAGCAAUUGACGUUAGCGACAGAAGAAGCACCGGCUAACUCCGUGCCAGCAGCCGCGGUAAUACGGAGGGUGCGAGCGUUAAUCGGAAUUACUGGGCGUAAAGGGCACGCAGGCGGUUAAUUAAGUUGGAUGUGAAAUCCUCGGGCUUAACCUGGGAAUGGCAUUCAAGACUGGUUAGCUAGAGUCUUGUAGAGGGGGUAGAAUUCCAUGUGUAGCGGUGAAAUGCGUAGAGAUGUGGAGGAAUACCGGUGGCGAAAGGCGGCCCCUGGACAAAGACUGACGCUCAUGUGCGAAAGCGUGGGGAGCAAACAGGGAUUAGAUACC